UACGUAGGCAGCAAGCGUUGUUCGGAAUUACUGGGCGUAAAGAGUGUGUAGGCGGUGCUCUAAGUCUGUUGUGAAAUCUCCCGGCUUAACUGGGAGGGUGCGGCGGAGACUGGAGUGCUAGAGUGUGGGAGAGGUAAGCGGAAUUCCUGGUGUAGCGGUGAAAUGCGUAGAUAUCAGGAGGAACACCUGUGGUGUAGACAGCUUACUGGACCACGACUGACGCUGAGACACGAAAGCUAGGGUAGCGAACGGG
RNAcentral lists this ribosomal RNA (253 nucleotides) under uncultured bacterium. RNAcentral describes it as "partial 16S ribosomal RNA". It matches the Rfam family "Bacterial small subunit ribosomal RNA", at positions 524 to 776 of the family's 1533-position model. The record is from RNAcentral.